UAUUAAAGCCAUUUUAAAAAUUAUAAAGUUUCGAGUUGAAAUGUUUGUCGAAAUCAUAAAAAUAAUUUCAAACAUGUGAAUAAAGAAGAUGAUCAAAUCAUGUGAAUUAGUCGCUUGUGUUUUGGCAGCUAUGGCCCUGUUACACCACGCUUUUGCAUUUCCAGAAUAAGCCUUACACUGGUGGAUCAUAACACAUUCUAUAAGAUACCUCCAAAUAUGCUAUAAAAUUUUCUCUCCCGUGUAUAGACUCUGGCUGUCUUUAUUAAUCUCCACCUGUACCCUUCAUCAGAAAAUUAUAACCAAUGCUAGAAUCCCAUUUGGUUCUUAUUUGUAUGUCCCAUAA
This 343-nucleotide unclassified non-coding RNA is filed under the name Hevea brasiliensis (rubber tree). The record is from RNAcentral. Lineage: Eukaryota; Viridiplantae; Streptophyta; Magnoliopsida; Malpighiales; Euphorbiaceae.